CGGGAGCAGCAUCCCCGUGGGAAGGAGGGUGGGAAGGAGGGAGGGAAGGAAGGAGGGAGCCGGGCUUGGUGAGUCAACACUGCAGAGCUGCUGCGAGAGGAGAGGGAGGCAGAGCCAGGCCGGCCGGGAAGGACGGAUUUGCUGAGCCCGCGACAAAAAUGGUUUUGAGUAAUUAUCGACGCCUGCCGCUAUGUGGCCAGGAAGAUGAGGACCCUGUGGAGCCGGGAGCACCGGGAGCCCCGCGGCCACCGACAGAAUGUAAAGGCAGAGGUAUCAGCACCCCCUGAAGCAACAGCCUCCCUUCCCAGGAACAUCAAACCCAUCCAGUGCAGGUCCUGACAGUAAAAGCCGUCAAAGUCCUCCCAUGAAGGCCACAAGAUUUCUUCCCACUGAUUUCUCCAGGGAAUCCAUUUGCUGGGAAUCUUGCAGCACAGGGAUUGGAAAAUAUCAGCAAAUCCCUCCUGUAUCUGCUCUCAACACAGAAGCACAACGAUAGAAAACACCCUAAUUGGUCUCCUGUUACCAGAAUUUUCUAGCUGGCAGAC
Molecule: long non-coding RNA, 545 nt
Filed under: Manacus vitellinus (golden-collared manakin)
Lineage: Eukaryota; Metazoa; Chordata; Aves; Passeriformes; Pipridae
Description: lncRNA (ENSMVIG00005006525.1)
Source: RNAcentral